GAUCUCUAGAUAGCUCAGUUGGUAGAGCCUGAGACUCUUCAUCUCAUCGUCAUGGGUUUGAGUCCCACAUAGUGAUCU
Molecule: non-coding RNA, 78 nt
Organism: Podarcis lilfordi (Lilford's wall lizard)
Lineage: Eukaryota; Metazoa; Chordata; Lepidosauria; Squamata; Lacertidae
Source: the annotation of a GenBank genome assembly